GUCUUUUUGUUAAUAAUUUAAAGUCUAAUCUGCCCACUGAUAUAUUUAUUAAAGGGCUGCAGUAUUUUGACUGUACAAAGGUAGCAUAAUCAUUAGUCUUUUAAUUGGUGACUUGUAUGAAAGAUUGGAUGAAAUAUAAACUGUCUCUUUUAUAAAAAAAAAAUUGAAUUUAAUUUUUUAAUUAAAAAGUUAAAAUUAUUUAAAAAGACGAGAAGACCCUAUAGAGUUUUAUAAUUUAUUUUGUAAAUAUUUUUAUUUUUAUAUUUUUAUAAUUUUAAAUUACUUUGUUGGGGUGAUAAAAAAAUUUAAUUAACUUUUUUUAAUAGUUUACAUUAAUAAGUGACUAAAUGAUCCAAUUUUAUUGAUUAAAAGAAAAAAUUACCUUAGGGAUAACAGCGUAAUUUUUUUUUUUAGUUCAAAUAAAAAGAAAAGUUUGCGACCUCGAUGUUGGAUUAAGAUAAAAUUUAAAUGUAGAAGCUUAAAAUUUUGAUCUGUUCGAUCAUUAAAAUCUU
Molecule: ribosomal RNA, 512 nt
Filed under: Bombyx mori (domestic silkworm)
Lineage: Eukaryota; Metazoa; Arthropoda; Insecta; Lepidoptera; Bombycidae
Description: partial large subunit ribosomal RNA
Source: RNAcentral